CGUGUUACAUCGCGCCAUCAUUGGUAUAUGGUUAGUGUGUUGGUUAGUAGGCCUAGUAUGAGGAGGGUUGUGGAGUGGAAGUGAAAUCACAUGGCUAGGCCGGAGGUCAUUAGGAGGGCUGAGAGGGCCCCUGUUAGGGGCCAUGGGCUGGGUUUUACUAUAUGAUAGGCAUGUGAUUGGUGGGUCAUUAUGUGUUGUCGUGCAGGUAGAGGCUUACUAGAAGUGUAAAAACGUAGGCUUGGAUUAAGGCGACAGCGAUUUCUAGGAUAGUCAGUAGAAUUAGAAUUGUGAAGAUGAUAAGUGUAGAGGGAAGGUUAAUAGUUGAUAUUGCUAGUGUGGCGCUUCCAAUUAGGUGCAUGAGUAGGUGGCCUGCAGUAAUGUUAGCGGUUAGGCGUACGGCCAGGGCUAUUGGUUGAAUGAGUAGGCUGAUGGUUUCGAUAAUAACUAGUAUAGGGAUAAGGGGUGUAGGUGUGCCUUGUGGUAAGAAGUGGGCUAGGGCAUUUUUAAUCUUAGAGCGAAAGCCUAUAAUCACUGCGCCCGCUCAUAAGGGGAUGGCCAUGGCUAGGUUUAUAGAUAGUUGGGUGGUUGGUGUAAAUGAGUGAGGCAGGAGGGAUG
This 615-nucleotide long non-coding RNA is filed under the name Homo sapiens (human). RNAcentral's name for it is "HSALNT0289551". Lineage: Eukaryota; Metazoa; Chordata; Mammalia; Primates; Hominidae. The record is from RNAcentral.